GUCCACGCCGUAAACGUUGAUUACUCGUUGUUGGCGAUACACUGUCAGCGACUAAGCGAAAGCGUUAAGUAAUCCACCUGGGGAGUACGAUCGCAAGAUUGAAACUCAAAGGAAUUGACGGGGGCCCCGCACAAGCGGUGGAGCAUGUGGUUUAAUUCGAUGAUACGCGAGGAACCUUACCAGGGCUUGAAAGUUAGAGACUUUCGGUGAAAGCCGAUUUCCCUUCGGGGCUCGAAACUAGGUGCUGCAUGGCUGUCGU
This 259-nucleotide ribosomal RNA is filed under the name uncultured bacterium. Its description in RNAcentral is "partial 16S ribosomal RNA". It matches the Rfam family "Bacterial small subunit ribosomal RNA", at positions 793 to 1055 of the family's 1533-position model. The record is from RNAcentral.